GUGCUCGCUUUGGCAGCAAAUACACUAAAAUUGGAACAAUACAGAGAAGAUUAGCAUGGCUCCUGCGCAAGGAUGACACACAAAUUCGUGAAGCAUUCCAUAUUUUU
This 107-nucleotide small nuclear RNA is filed under the name Dipodomys ordii (Ord's kangaroo rat). The record is from RNAcentral. Lineage: Eukaryota; Metazoa; Chordata; Mammalia; Rodentia; Heteromyidae.